This 491-nucleotide ribosomal RNA is filed under the name uncultured bacterium. Its description in RNAcentral is "partial 16S ribosomal RNA". It matches the Rfam family "Bacterial small subunit ribosomal RNA", at positions 29 to 506 of the family's 1533-position model. The record is from RNAcentral.
AGUGAACGCUGGCGGUAGGCCUAACACAUGCAAGUCGAACGGCAGCACAGUAAGAGCUUGCUCUUACGGGUGGCGAGUGGCGGACGGGUGAGGAAUACAUCGGAAUCUACUUUUUCGUGGGGGAUAACGUAGGGAAACUUACGCUAAUACCGCAUACGACCUACGGGUGAAAGCAGGGGGUCUUCGGACCUUGCGCGAUUGAAUGAGCCGAUGUCGGAUUAGCUAGUUGGCGGGGUAAAGGCCCACCAAGGCGACGAUCCGUAGCUGGUCUGAGAGGAUGAUCAGCCACACUGGAACUGAGACACGGUCCAGACUCCUACGGGAGGCAGCAGUGGGGAAUAUUGGACAAUGGGCGCAAGCCUGAACCAGCCAUACCGCGUGGGUGAAGAAGGCCUUCGGGUUGUAAAGCCCUUUUGUUGGGAAAGAAAAGCAGCAGGUUAAUACCCCGCUGUUCUGACGGUACCCAAAGAAUAAGCACCGGCUAACUUCGU